Molecule: ribosomal RNA, 178 nt
Filed under: Cociella crocodilus (crocodile flathead)
Lineage: Eukaryota; Metazoa; Chordata; Actinopteri; Perciformes; Platycephalidae
Description: partial 12S small subunit ribosomal RNA
Source: RNAcentral
CACCGCGGUUAUACGAGAGACCCAAGUUGACAGCUUCCGGCGUAAAGCGUGGUUAAGUUAAUCCUAAACUAAAGUAGAAUGCCCCCUCUCCCCCCUCCCCGCUGUCAUAAGCAUAUGAAGGUAAGAAGCUCAAAUACGAAAGUGACUUUAUGAUACUGAACCCACGAAAGCUGAGAUA